RNAcentral lists this long non-coding RNA (1015 nucleotides) under Fragaria vesca (wild strawberry). RNAcentral describes it as "long non-coding RNA (FVES_LNC000844)". Lineage: Eukaryota; Viridiplantae; Streptophyta; Magnoliopsida; Rosales; Rosaceae. The record is from RNAcentral.
UCCAAUCUCCAUGUUAAAACAAAUUAAGAACUAGAGGAAAACAUAAAUCACAGGCUGGUGACCUGGACAAGUGCAUCAAAGGCAUCAAUUUACUAAAAGUCUAAAAGAUUGGAAUGACGUGAAUGAAAUUUCAUCUUCAACCCAACAAAAUAUCAAAAGCUGAAGAACUGAAAGCCGAUGCUAGCACUCUAGGCACUGCAGAAGUCAGUUUGUUAACAAUGACACUGAAAUCAUUAAGCACAUAUUGUGCUAUUGUUCCCGUCAUCUAGUUAUGGCUACCAUUAGGUGAGUUUGGUUAAUUUUUUGUAAAAAUAGUCAUUCAAAGUUUCUAACCCAACCAGUUAGUUAUAUGCAUGUAAUGUAAGAUGAAGGAGAGCGUAUUCAGCGCACCCGGGUGCGCAGCGCACCCGUCCAUCUCCGCCGUCCAUUUGACGUGGACUUUUGACUUUUUCAAAAUGAACGACGGAGAUGGACAGGUGCGCGGCGCACCCGGGUGCGCUGUAUAAUUUUCAAAGAUGAAGCAUGUAAUUAGAUUGGGCCAAGAUCAAUAGUGUUCUGUUCUCUGGGCCUGGAUGGGCCGACAUUGUUCUGGUAUAUGUAAGUUGAUCAGUUUUGCCGUUUUGGUCAGACUUACCAUUCUAGAAUACAUAGCUUAAGUUCGUCUCUCUGACUCGAUCUAAAUCUAAUAUGAAUGUCAAAUAAUCAAACUUAAAACCGUUGAAAAGAAGUAAUAGAAUACAAAAACCAACCUAUAUAUAAAACAAACAAGGAUAAUAUAAGAACUAAUCGAUCCAGUUUGAGCACGUUUGACAUGAAAAAAUGAACCAAAAAAACAAAGAAAAUUGACAUGUAUGGGAGUUGGCGAGGUGCAUGUUGUCUGUGUACGUUGCAUUAUUUGACAACUUAAUUUGACCUAAUUUACCUACCUUACAUAUAUAUAUAGCUACUUUUAUCAUUAUACAUAUACUAAUUCUAUGAUUUCUGGAUAAUACACAUUUAAAUUAGUUAGUAUAUG